UUCAGAAACAAAUGUUUUGGAAGCAGUUUUAAAGAAAAGCAGUCUGUUCUUGUAAAUACAUUCUAUUUUACUUACACAAAACUUUUCCUUUUUUCUCUUUAAGUCACCAGAAAAUAAAUGUACUGAGUUUCUAUUCUUGGCUCAGAUUCAACUAGAAUAGCGAAGAAUUACAAGAUAUAUAAAUGAAAAAUCCUGUUCAUUUAGUAAACAUUUCAUACUAUAUUUAUACAGUGAAAUUCAUUGAUAGUACUUUUUUUUUUUACUUAUAAGUUUUUAUUGGUUCUAAUUAAGCCUGAGAAUAAAGUCUUGUGAAACUGUCCUCUCCAUUACUGUCUAUUCUAAUCUAUUCUCGACAGGCACCACAAUAAAGCUUUCACCCCUGUUUUGGUCUGUUAUAUCCAAGCCACAUGUGCAGUCAAGGAAAAGGUAUGUGAAGGAAAGCUAAGAUAAUUCAGUGGAUUCUUCACUGGGAAAAAGGCCAGAUUCCAGUUUAUAAACGGAGGCUUGCUGUUGCCAGGCUGGAAUGCAAUGAC
Molecule: long non-coding RNA, 533 nt
Filed under: Homo sapiens (human)
Lineage: Eukaryota; Metazoa; Chordata; Mammalia; Primates; Hominidae
Description: HSALNT0388516
Source: RNAcentral